Molecule: small nuclear RNA, 102 nt
Organism: Sorex araneus (European shrew)
Lineage: Eukaryota; Metazoa; Chordata; Mammalia; Eulipotyphla; Soricidae
Source: RefSeq, a predicted model, not a curated record
UAGUAUAUCUACUGAGAAAAUAUAAUUGGAACAAUACUGAAAUGAUCAGCCACAGUCCCUGUCAGAGAUGACAUUUCUAUUACUAAAGCAUUCCAUAUUUUU